UAGUUAUGUUGGAGACGCGGCAGACGGCUCAGUAACACGUAGUCAAUCUACCCUUGGGACAGAGAUAACCCCUGGGAAACUGAGGCUAAUACCUGAUAUGUGAACGAUCCUGGAAUGGUCUUUCGCAGAAAAGGCAUCAGAUACAUGCUUCUGAUGUUGCCCAAGGAUGGGACUGCGGCCGAUCAGGUAGUUGGUAAGGUAACGGCUUACCAAGCCUAUAACCGGUACGGGCCCUGAGAGGGGGAGCCCGGAGAUGGGAACUGAGAUAAGGUCCUAGGCCCUACGGGGCGCAGCAGGCGCGAAAACUUCGCAAUGCGCGAAAGCGUGACGAGGUUAUCCCGAGUGCUGUCCGAAAAGGAUGGCUUUUCAUCGAUGUAAAUAGUCGGUGGAAUAAGGGGGGGGCAAGACUGGUGUCAGCCGCCGCGGUAAUACCAGCCCCCCGAGUGGUGGGGAUGAUUAUUUGGCCUAAAGCGUUCGUAGCCGGCUCAGUAAGUCCUCCGUUAAAUCUGACGACUUAAUCGUCAGGCUGCGGGAGAUACUGCUGGGCUAGGAGGCGGAAGAGGUCGACGGUAUUCCAGGGGUAGGGGUGGAAUCCUAUAAUCCUUGGAAGACCACCAGUGGCGAAGGCGGUCGACCAGAACGCGCUCGACGGUGAGGGACGAAAGCUGGGGGAGCGAACCGGAUUAGAUACCCGGGUAGUCCCAGC
Molecule: ribosomal RNA, 706 nt
Filed under: uncultured marine archaeon
Lineage: Archaea
Description: bacterial SSU rRNA
Rfam family: Archaeal small subunit ribosomal RNA
Source: RNAcentral